AUGGCGUCAGGAUGAACGCUAGCGACAGGCUUAACACAUGCAAGUCGAGGGGCAGCACGGGAGUAGCAAUACAACUGGUGGCGACCGGCGCACGGGUGAGUAACGCGUAUGCAGCCUACCUAUCAGAGGGGAAUAACCCGGCGAAAGUCGGACUAAUACCGCAUAAAACAGGGGCACCGCAUGGUGAUAUUUGUUAAAGAAAUUCGCUGAUAGAUGGGCAUGCGUUCCAUUAGGUAGUUGGUGAGGUAACGGCUCACCAAGCCGACGAUGGAUAGGGGAACUGAGAGGUUGGUCCCCCACACUGGUACUGAGACACGGACCAGACUCCUACGGGAGGCAGCAGUGAGGAAUAUUGGUCAAUGGGCGGGAGCCUGAACCAGCCAAAGUCGCGUGAAGGAAGAAGGAUCUAUGGUUCGUAAACUUCUUUUGCAGGGGAAUAAAGUGCGGGACGUGUCCUGUUUUGUAUGUACCCUGAGAAUAAGGAUCGGCUAACUCCGUGCCAGCCGCCGC
This 510-nucleotide ribosomal RNA is filed under the name uncultured bacterium. RNAcentral describes it as "bacterial SSU rRNA". It matches the Rfam family "Bacterial small subunit ribosomal RNA", at positions 18 to 518 of the family's 1533-position model. The record is from RNAcentral.